Molecule: ribosomal RNA, 513 nt
Filed under: uncultured Acidobacteriota bacterium
Lineage: Bacteria; Pseudomonadati; Acidobacteriota
Description: bacterial SSU rRNA
Rfam family: Bacterial small subunit ribosomal RNA
Source: RNAcentral
UCGGGAAUUUUGGGCAAUGGGGGAAACCCUGACCCAGCAACGCCGCGUGAAGGAUGAAGUAUUUCGGUAUGUAAACUUCGAAAGAAUAGGAAGAAUUAAUGACGGUACUAUUUAUAAGGUCCGGCUAACUACGUGCCAGCAGCCGCGGUAAUACGUAGGGACCAAGCGUUGUUCGGAUUUACUCGGGCGUAAAGGGCGCGUAGGCGGCGCGGUAAGUCACUUGUGAAAUCUCUGAGCUUAACUCAGAACGGCCAAGUGAUACUGCAGUGCUAGAGUGUGGAAGGGGCAAUCGGAAUUCUUGGUGUAGCGGUGAAAUGCGUAGAUAUCAAGAGGAACACCUGAGGUGAAGACGGGUUGCUGGGCCAACACUGACGCUGAGGCGCGAAAGCCAGGGGAGCAAACGGGAUUAGAUACCCCGGUAGUCCUGGCCCUAAACGAUGAAUACUUGGUGUCUGGAGUUUUAAUGCUCCGGGUGCCGUCGCUAACGUUUUUAGUAUUCCGCCUGGGGAGUAC